UGAGUUUGGGGGACCUGGGCUCAGUGUCGCUACUCUGCUCCCUAUUUAGUGACUCUAGUGCGUACCUACUGGCACGAACCAUCGCAAUUGGCAGGGGGCCUAGUGAUAACUCCAGACUAGCCGAGUGGUCUUGCUGGUCAGUUGCCCCCGUAUAUCGUCGUCAAAUCCCUCGAGGCACAUGUCGACAAGCUACAAGUACACCCACAUCCUAUGUUGGGAGCGCAACCCCACAACAUUGCAGGCCAGGGGUCCUAUAGGAUUCCGUGGUCACACACAAAGAAAAAAGUACGAAGAAGGAAAAAGGAAAGGCGGGAAAACGCGAAUUUCAACGUUGGUCGCGGAAAAACGCGGAUUUUGAUUUUGGGCACGGAGAAACGCAGAUUUCGAUACUUUUCACGGAAAAACGCGGGUUUAUCAUUUGUAUAAAUAGCGCGCAAAUAAUCAGUAGUCGCAGAACUCGUUCUGUGCUGCUGAGAAUCGUGAUUUUUUUUUCCGUCGUGAGCCUUGUACGUUCCAGGUACCGGGGGAAUUGGGACAGAUGAUCGUAACAUGCUAACACAACAAGAAAACGUCUGCUACACUUCCCCGAAAAAUGUCGGCAGGAAUGGGCGGUCUACAGGCAGGUAGACCACAGCACCGGAAUAGUCCAUCCGAUAGUCUUUCGGAAAGGCCUAGCUCUACGUAGUCCCAAGCUCUCCCAGGCUGCGAUACCGUUGCUGCAAGUCCCGGUCUCAUCUGCUGAUGUAGAGCGGAGCUUCAGCAAGCUGGGAAGUUUGUUCCGGCCUCAACGCCAGCGUCUAACCCAGGAGGAUGCCGCCGGGAUGCUCCCUACAACAACAACUUUAUUUUAAGAUGAUGAAGGGGGAGUUUCAUCGCCAGGGGCGAUGCUCUACCCCAAUGCCGGUGGUGAUGUGGGGAAUUAAAUAAUGAGCCCCUUCACAAUAAGGAUCGAUGUCCUAUUCAAAAGAGCUUUGACCUUUUAAUGCAGCUGCGUAAUCUUUUCGUCGAAUGCUUUGAGAUAGCGUGCCUCUAACAUUUUUGUGAUAUUUUGUGAUAUGAUAUAUAUGUGCGCGGUUCGUUGAAUGUACUGACGUUAGUGGUGGUAUACAUCACGAACUGAGCUAGAAAAAUAAAGCAUAUUUAUAUUUAA
Molecule: long non-coding RNA, 1150 nt
Organism: Ornithodoros turicata
Lineage: Eukaryota; Metazoa; Arthropoda; Arachnida; Ixodida; Argasidae
Exons: 2
Source: RefSeq, a predicted model, not a curated record